Molecule: ribosomal RNA, 253 nt
Filed under: uncultured bacterium
Lineage: Bacteria
Description: partial 16S ribosomal RNA
Rfam family: Bacterial small subunit ribosomal RNA
Source: RNAcentral
UACGAAGGGUGCAAACGUUGCUCGGAAUUAUUGGGCGUAAAGCGCACGUAGGCGGCGCUGCAAGUCCCAUGUGAAAGCCCACGGCUUAACCGUGGAAGUGCAUGGGAAACUGCAGUGCUUGAGUACUUAAGAGGAUCGCGGAAUUCCCGGUGUAGAGGUGAAAUUCGUAGAUAUCGGGAGGAACACCAGUGGCGAAGGCGGCGAUCUGGGAAGAUACUGACGCUGAGGUGCGAAAGCCAGGGGAGCGAACGGG